UNUGACUUGAGUGCAGAAGGGGAGAGUGGAAUUCCAUGUGUAGCGGUGAAAUGCGUAGAUAUAUGGAGGAACACCAGUGGCGAAAGCGGCUCUCUGGUCUGUCACUGACGCUGAGGCUCGAAAGCGUGGGUAGCGAACAGGAUUAGAUACCCUGGUAGUCCACGCCGUAAACGAUGAGUGCUAGGUGUUAGGCCCUUUCCGGGGCUUAGUGCCGGAGCUAACGCAAUAAGCACUCCGCCUGGGGAGUACGACCGCAAGGUUGAAACUCAAAGGAAUUGACGGGGGCCCGCACAAGCGGUGGAGCAUGUGGUUUAAUUCGAAGCAACGCGAAGAACCUUACCAGGUCUUGACAUCCCGAUGCUAUUCUUAGAGAUAGGAAGUUACUUCGGUACAUCGGAGACAGGUGGUGCAUGGUUGUCGUCAGCUCGUGUCGUGAGAUGUUGGGUUAAGUCCCGCAACGAGCGCAACCCUUAUUGUUAGUUGCCAUCAUUAAGUUGGGCACUCUAGCGAGACUGCCGGUAAUAAACCGGAGGAAGGUGGGGAUGACGUCAAAUCAUCAUGCCCCUUAUGACCUGGGCUACACACGUGCUACAAUGGUCGGUACAACGAGUUGCGAGCCGGUGACGGCAAGCUAAUCUCUGAAAGCCGAUCUCAGUUCGGAUUGGAGGCUGCAACUCGCCUCCAUGAAGUCGGAAUCGCUAGUAAUCGCGGAUCAGCACGCCGCGGUGAAUACGUUCCCGGGCCUUGUACACACCGCCCGUCACACCACGAGAGUUUGUAACACCCGAAGUCGGUGAGGUAACCUUUUAGG
This 811-nucleotide ribosomal RNA is filed under the name uncultured bacterium. Its description in RNAcentral is "bacterial SSU rRNA". It matches the Rfam family "Bacterial small subunit ribosomal RNA", at positions 636 to 1446 of the family's 1533-position model. The record is from RNAcentral.